RNAcentral lists this ribosomal RNA (517 nucleotides) under uncultured bacterium. Its description in RNAcentral is "partial 16S ribosomal RNA". It matches the Rfam family "Bacterial small subunit ribosomal RNA", at positions 29 to 523 of the family's 1533-position model. The record is from RNAcentral.
AGCGAACGUUAGCGGCGGGCUUAACACAUGCAAGUCGCACGAGAAAAGGGCUUCGGCCCUGAGUAAAGUGGCGGACGGGUGAGUAACACGUGGAUAACCUGCCCUCCAGCGGGGGACAACAGUCCGAAAGGACUGCUAAUACCGCAUACGUCGGCGAGGUCGCAUGAUCUUGACGGGAAAGCCGGCCUCUGCAUGCAAGCUGGCACUGGAGGAGGGGUCCGCGGACCAUCCGCUAGUUGGUAGGGUAAUGGCCCACCAAGGCUUAGACGGGUAGCUGGUCUGAGAGGAGGAUCAGCCACACUGGGACUGAGACACGGCCCAGACGCCUACGGGAGGCAGCAGUGGGGAAUAUUGGGCAAUGGGCGCAAGCCUGACCCAGCCACUCCGCUUGAGUGAUGAAGGCCUUCGGGUCGUAAAGCUCUGUGGGGAGGGACGAACCUCCGCAGCCUAAUACGCUGCGGACUGACGGUACCUCCUUAGCAAGCACCGGCUAACUCCGUGCCAGCCGCCGCGGUAA